Molecule: ribosomal RNA, 253 nt
Filed under: uncultured bacterium
Lineage: Bacteria
Description: partial 16S ribosomal RNA
Rfam family: Bacterial small subunit ribosomal RNA
Source: RNAcentral
UACGUAGGGGGCUAGCGUUGUCCGGAAUCAUUGGGCGUAAAGCGCACGUAGGCGGAUUGUUAAGUCAGGGGUGAAAUCCUGGAGCUCAACUCCAGAACUGCCUUUGAUACUGGCGAUCUCGAGUCCGGGAGAGGUGAGUGGAACUGCGAGUGUAGAGGUGAAAUUCGUAGAUAUUCGCAAGAACACCAGUGGCGAAGGCGGCUCACUGGCCCGGUACUGACGCUGAGGUGCGAAAGCGUGGGGAGCAAACAGG